GAUGAAGAACGCAGCGAAAUGCGAUAAGUAAUGUGAAUUGCAGAAUUCAGUGAAUCAUCGAAUCUUUGAACGCACAUUGCGCCCGCCAGUAUUCUGGCGGGCAUGCCUGUUCGAGUGUCAUUUCAACCCUCAGGCCCCGCCUGGCGUUGGGGAUCGGCGCGGCCCUCUCCGGGCUGCCGGCCCCGAAAACUAGUGGCGGUCUCGCUGUAGUCCUCCUCUGCGCAGUAGCAACGCUCGCACUGGAACUCGGCGCGGCCACGCCGUAAAACACCCCACUUCUGAAAGUUGACCUCGGAUCAGGUAGGAAUACCCGCUGAACUUAAGCAUAUCAAUAAGCGGAGGA
Molecule: unclassified non-coding RNA, 343 nt
Filed under: soil metagenome
Description: partial contains 5.8S ribosomal RNA, internal transcribed spacer 2, and large subunit ribosomal RNA
Rfam family: 5.8S ribosomal RNA (bases 1-120)
Source: RNAcentral